UCAUUGUUAGGGUUCUCCAGCCUUCUCUGAGUUCUCUCCAUUCAUUUCAAUUUUGAAGCAUUUACGACUCCAGGGAAUUCUCUCUCCCGACCGGAAAACGAAGAUCUACUUAGCUUGCUCGAAUCAAUCUGCAAGUUCAUACCUCAGGACUGUGAAUCUGGAGCGAACUUUGCUUAAAUUUAGUCGGUUUAGUUUAAGUGGGCUUCUGUGUCUCUGAACUUCAUAAUUCGGAUACUAUUUUUUGCAUUUUUUUGCGGGAUUGAAGAAUGUUAGCUUAUCUGCCUGCUGUUCAUUGUCAAAUGGGUAAAAUCUGUAGUUCUCUGUUAUCUCUUUUGUAUGGGGUGGGGUUGGAUCUACUUUAGUUACAGUGACUUUGUAAAAUAGAUUUGUUGUGAAAUUAUGCAGUAAAUUGUAUUGUGGGGUUUUUUUUUAUAUGUUGCUCACCACCUGUUUGAUAAAAUAAGAAACGGUAUAUUUUUCUUGCCUA
Non-coding RNA from Malus domestica (apple), 487 nucleotides. NCBI's taxonomy places the organism in Eukaryota, Viridiplantae, Streptophyta, Magnoliopsida, Rosales, Rosaceae. The record is from RefSeq and is a predicted model, not a curated record.